RNAcentral lists this long non-coding RNA (2723 nucleotides) under Homo sapiens (human). RNAcentral's name for it is "HSALNT0188885". The record is from RNAcentral. Lineage: Eukaryota; Metazoa; Chordata; Mammalia; Primates; Hominidae.
UUGAAGGAGUGGAGGUCAUAGGUGAGAAAAGACCCCCUCCUAUAGGCCCCAUGUGGAGCCCCCUCAUACUCAUUUCAUCAGCCGUGACACCCACUGCAGAAGAGAGGUAUAGUGUGUGGCCUUUUAGAAGCCUACUUCCGCCUCUUGGUUUCCCCCCUUGCUGCACCCCCUUUCUUAAGCCCUGCCCCAUACUCCCUCCUCGAGGACAUUUUCUGAAAACCACUCUUCUCUCUAGUUGAUCUUCCCAUCUAUGACCAUUCCAUUGUACAGCCCUCAAGUCAACAGCUAGCCAGGGAAAGGAGAGACAGGGGUACAGACAGGUGUGGAACAGGAAUGGGGCAGAGACUAGGCCCAGCUUUUUCUCCUGGGCUCAUCGGCUGACAGUGCUGGCAAGCUUCUUCCCUUGGCCCCAGCCCAGCUUCCCACCAUGGUCUCAUUUUGAGGUCUGCUAAGAAAAUAGCCCAGAUAAGGAGCAGGUGACUGCUCUCCCUUGCUCCUUUCUGUCCCCCAGCAUGAAAUAAAUUGUAUUUAGCUUCAGUAGCAGCUAGGGGAAUGCUUUUCAGAGGUAGGCUCCUCCAUGACCCCCUAUCCCCCCGCCAACCCUGCCACAUAUCCUCACAGGACCCUGUUCCACAGUUCUGUCCUCCAGCAGGCCCACGCUAGCUCCACUGCAGGGCUGGGGUGGGGGAUGUGGGCCCACUUCCCACCUCUAAAGAUGAGGCCACAUAAGAGGUAAGGGCCUGCUUUGAGGACAGCCCAGCUCAAAAAAGGAUGAGAGACUCCAGGUGCCUCAAAAGACAAGAUUGUCUUGGUCACCCACAGAGGUCAUCUUGGGGACUCAUCCAUGGGCCUCUCAGAUGAUCCCCACCCAAAAAUGUGUUCUAGGGAAGGUGGGAAAGGUUAAAGUUAGAGAGCUCUGAGAAUUGCGGUACACAAUUUUGUUGUAGACUCUGGGCUUAAGAGGACAGGAGAGAAUAGGAGGCAGGCAGAGUGCACACUGUCCUUGAAAGGCUUUGAGCCUCCUUCAACUCCUCCUCUCAGGGGUUUCCAAGGUACUGCCCCAGGGGCUUCAUCAGGUGAAUGGCUAGUUUGCAGAGGCCAGAAAAGGGGAAGGCAGGCAGUACCCGGGGCAGCUGUGUCCGUGGGGCUUUGUGGUCUCAGAUGCUGUGAUUGGGGGUAAGUUUGGUGUAUGUUUUUUGGGGAAGGGCGAGAAUGGAAGGAGCACCCUCAGCAGUUCAGGGCUCUGCAUCGCCCACGGCCAUCUGUUUGUCUAAGACGAGGGAAGCUCUGGUUUCCAGGCUGAUCUGGAGAGUGGAGCAAGAGGCUCCUAACACUGUGCACCUUGGCCUAGAGGGCAGACACCACUGUGUGCUCAUGUGCUGACCUCCUGGCUUGGCAGACGGCUAGGUGGGUGUUGCCAUCCCCCUGGGCUGUUGCUGGCCAGCAACUGGUAACAAGCACUGGGCUACAGGGGAGUCUGUGUGCAACCCAUGGGUAGGAGUAAGCAGGCAGGAGGUCAAGACUGGGGAGAAAUGGCUUUCUAAGUUCCGGGGACUGCCCAGGAAAAACCAACCAUAUUCUCCUUCCAUGGCCAGUAAUUUCCCAUAGGGAAACGGACAUGAAAUCAGUAGUUGGCUGUUUUUCUUAGCACAAUGUUAUACCUAAUACAGAAACAGCCUCCCACAGACCACUCCUUUAUUGCACUGGCACUGAGAUGAAGGCUCCAGUGCCAGGCUGCCAGCUGGGAGCACUGAUUACGGGUGAUGGAAGAGAAAGGAUGCUUCUGUCCCUGGCACAAAUGAUGGGAGCCCCAAAGAAUGGAUGUUUAUGCAUAAAAUAACCCCCUUGUUUUUGCCUAAAUGCUUCCCUCUCUCAUUUUGCCCCUACAAUCAUUUUAGAUAGUGUGGAGACUAAGAAUGUGCUCAUUUACAUGGGAAUAAAGAGGGUGCAGAGAUUCAGAAUCGGCUCAUCACAGGAAGUUAUCUGUAUCACUAGAGCUCUUUUCCCAAGAGCAAACUGUAGAUUUGCUUGAAAUUAAUAAUGGUUCAUCAGCCAUUCAUUACACAUGUAAUUAGCCUGGGUAAAAACAGAUGCCAUUUCAAUGUCCUUGACAUCAAUUUUCUCCACUCCUAGUUAUCGGCCCAACCACUCCUCUCUGCUUUCCCUUCUCAAGUCUGAUAAACCCCAAGUUCCGGAGUAGGAACAGUGGUUGGAUUUUUUGGUGGGUUUGAUUACAUAUAUUGAACAGGCAAUACUAGAAUGUUCCCAUCCAAACAGGCAAAGGAUAAUUUUUAAACUACAACUUUGGAAAGUGGUUGUACUCUGAUCCUAUAUUCCAAACCCCAUUCUUGCAUAAUGACAAAGGAAAAAAGUCAUGAGCCUCCAAGUGGGAAGCAGGCAGAACUGCAGGCGAGUUUCAAGUGAUUGCUAAUGGGAAUCCCUCCUGAGCUGUCUUCCAAACUCUGCCAAGGAGGGGCUAGUUGUCUACAGUAUGAGGAUGACAACACAGAACUUCCAUGGUGCUCUUAAGAACCAGCUACUCAGGAGGCUGAGGCAGGAAAAUCACUUGAACCUGGGAGGCGGAGGUUGCAGUAAGCCGAGAACGCGCCAUUGCACUCCAGCCUGGGGAACAAGAACACAACUCCAUCUCAAAACAGGCAAACAAAAACUGAACUCUUAUUUGAACCAUGAAAGCGGAACCUUAGAGUAGCAGGCACAGGCUG